Molecule: ribosomal RNA, 433 nt
Filed under: uncultured bacterium
Lineage: Bacteria
Description: partial 16S ribosomal RNA
Rfam family: Bacterial small subunit ribosomal RNA
Source: RNAcentral
AACGAACGCUGGCGGCAUGCCUAACACAUGCAAGUCGAACGAGACCUUCGGGUCUAGUGGCGCACGGGUGCGUAACGCGUGGGAACCUGCCCUUAGGUUCGGAAUAACUCCCCGAAAGGGGUGCUAAUACCGGAUAAUGUCUUCGGACCAAAGAUUUAUCGCCUUUGGAUGGGCCCGCGUUGGAUUAGCUAGUUGGUAGGGUAAAAGCCUACCAAGGCGACGAUCCAUAGCUGGUCUGAGAGGAUGAUCAGCCACGCUGGGACUGAGACACGGCCCAGACUCCUACGGGAGGCAGCAGUGGGGAAUAUUGGACAAUGGGCGAAAGCCUGAUCCAGCAAUGCCGCGUGAGUGAUGUAGGCCUUAGGGUUGUAAAGCUCUUUUACCCGGGAUGAUAAUGACAGUACCGGGAGAAUAAGCUCCGGCUAACUCCGUG